AACGCACCUUGCGCUCUCGGGUUAUUCCUGGGAGCAUGUUCGUUGGAGUGUCGCGUACCUCUCAACCCCGUCCUUUUGUAAAGAAGGGAUUGCUCAGGGAUUGGAUCAUGGCGCCCUUUGCCUCUUGAUUGAUGGCAUGCGCUGAAAUGCAACAAGCUGUACCUUUGUACUGGCGGUUUGACCCGUUGUCAUAAGCUCACACUUUCAAUGGGGACGUCGGUUGGGAUGGGCUUACCACAAAUCAAUCUUAUACACUUUGACCUCCAAUCGAGCAGGACUAACCCCCUGAACUUAA
This 295-nucleotide unclassified non-coding RNA is filed under the name uncultured fungus. RNAcentral describes it as "partial contains 5.8S ribosomal RNA, internal transcribed spacer 2, and large subunit ribosomal RNA". Lineage: Eukaryota; Fungi. The record is from RNAcentral.